Molecule: ribosomal RNA, 468 nt
Filed under: uncultured bacterium
Lineage: Bacteria
Description: partial 16S ribosomal RNA
Rfam family: Bacterial small subunit ribosomal RNA
Source: RNAcentral
GACGAACGCUGGCGGCGUGCUUAACACAUGCAAGUCGAACGGAAAGGCCCUGCUUUUGUGGGGUGCUCGAGUGGCGAACGGGUGAGUAACACGUGAGUAACCUGCCCUUGACUUUGGAAUAACUUCAGGAAACUGGGGCUAAUACCGGAUAGGAGCUCCUGCUGCAUGGUGGGGGUUGGAAAGUUUCGGCGGUUGGGGAUGGACUCGCGGCUUAUCAGCUUGUUGGUGGGGUAGUGGCUUACCAAGGCUUUGACGGGUAGCCGGCCUGAGAGGGUGACCGGCCACAUUGGGACUGAGAUACGGCCCAGACUCCUACGGGAGGCAGCAGUGGGGAAUAUUGCACAAUGAGCGGAAGCCUGAUGCAGCAACGCCGCGUGCGGGAUGACGGCCUUCGGGUUGUAAACCGCUUUCGCCUGUGACGAAGCGUGAGUGACGGUAAUGGGUAAAGAAGCACCGGCUAACUACGUG